This 210-nucleotide ribosomal RNA is filed under the name Hydroporus melanarius. RNAcentral describes it as "partial 16S ribosomal RNA". It matches the Rfam family "Bacterial large subunit ribosomal RNA", at positions 2474 to 2700 of the family's 2925-position model. The record is from RNAcentral. Lineage: Eukaryota; Metazoa; Arthropoda; Insecta; Coleoptera; Dytiscidae.
AUAACAGCGUAAUUUUUUUAGAGAGUUCAUAUCAAUAAAAAAGUUUGCGACCUCGAUGUUGGAUUAAAAGUAAUCUUAGGUGCAGAAGUUUAAGAUUUUGGUCUGUUCGACCAUUGAAUUUUUACAUGAUCUGAGUUUAGACCGGCGUAAGCCAGGUUGGUUUCUAUCUUUAUUAAUUUAGUAUAUUUUAGUACGAAAGGACCAAAUAUA